RNAcentral lists this ribosomal RNA (440 nucleotides) under uncultured bacterium. RNAcentral describes it as "partial 16S ribosomal RNA". It matches the Rfam family "Bacterial small subunit ribosomal RNA", at positions 338 to 795 of the family's 1533-position model. The record is from RNAcentral.
CCUACGGGAGGCAGCAGUGGGGAAUAUUGCACAAUGGGGGAAACCCUGAUGCAGCGACGCCGCGUGAGUGAAGAAGUAAUUCGUUAUGUAAAGCUCUAUCAGCAGUGAAGAAAAUGACGGUACCUGAGUAAGAAGCCCUGGCUAACUACGUGCCAGCAGCCGCGGUAAUACGUAGGGGGCAAGCGUUAUUCGGAUUUACUGGGCGUAAAGGGAGCGUAGACGGCAGUGCAAGUCUGGAGUGAAAGGCGGGGGCUCAACCCCCGAACUGCCCUGGAGACUAUACGGCUGGAGUGCAGGAGAGGUUAGUGGAAUACCUAGUGUAGCGGGGAAAUGCGUAGAUAUUGGGGAGAACACCAGUGGCGAAGGCGGCUUACUGGACUGUAACUGACGUUGAGGCUCGAAAGCGUGGGGAGCAAACAGGAUUAGAUACCCUUGUAGUC